ACGGAAGGCAGCAGUGGGGAAUAUUGCACAAUGGGCGAAAGCCUGAUGCAGCGACGCCGCGUGGGUGAUGAAAUAUUUCGGUAUGUAAAGCCCUAUCAGCAGGGAAGAUAAUGACGGUACCUGACUAAGAAGCCCCGGCUAAAUACGUGCCAGCAGCCGCGGUAAUACGUAUGGGGCAAGCGUUAUCCGGAUUUACUGGGUGUAAAGGGAGCGCAGGCGGUUUUACAAGUCUGGUGUGAAAGCCCGGGGCUCAACCCCGGGACUGCACCGGAAACUGUAGGACUAGAGUAUCGGAGGGGCAAGCGGAAUUCCUAGCGUAGCGGUGAAAUGCGUAGAUAUUAGGAGGAACACCGGUGGCGAAGGCGGCUUGCUGGACGAAAACUGACGCUGAGGCUCGAAAGCGUGGGGAGCAAACAGGAUUAGAUACCCUGGUA
Molecule: ribosomal RNA, 434 nt
Filed under: uncultured Lachnospiraceae bacterium
Lineage: Bacteria; Bacillati; Bacillota; Clostridia; Lachnospirales; Lachnospiraceae
Description: partial 16S ribosomal RNA
Rfam family: Bacterial small subunit ribosomal RNA
Source: RNAcentral